Long non-coding RNA from Psammomys obesus (fat sand rat), 748 nucleotides. RefSeq lists it as uncharacterized. The record is from RefSeq and is a predicted model, not a curated record. NCBI's taxonomy places the organism in Eukaryota, Metazoa, Chordata, Mammalia, Rodentia, Muridae. The transcript has 3 exons.
CCUUAUGUUCCACUUGCGCCUACGAUAAUGAGCUUAGCCCCGGAGCAAAAAGAACGAGCCCCAACGCUUGUUAAAAAUGUGGGUAUGGGCUCUCUGCCCCCCUGAACCUCAGCGGUAGAUAUCGCUUCUGCUCAGCAAAGUCUUCAUCCAGGGAGGCAGCCCUUGGUGCUGAGCACAGAUCCAGCUGAUUACUGGCCGGGAAGACCUUAGCCGUGCUCGGUCAUUCCAGCUAGCCCCUGAAGCGGCUGCUCUAGGCAGAUCUCAUCGUGCUGCCUGGAGCACAGUGAAGAUCAUGCUGACCAAGCAGCCUCAGGCUCUGCCUAGAAGAGACAGUGGGUCCUCACCUCUGCUCUCGGCAGCCAUGCUGAAGAUGCGACGUGCAGUUCUGCUCAGGCUCCAUCUUCACAGAGCCUCCCCGUAACUGGCUGUUGCAGCGGGGCUGCUUCCUCCCAAGCAUCCACCAUCACGAAGCCGUUGCCAUGGUGACUUACAGAGCACCUUAGCCUACUGUCCUGGCAAUGGAACUGAGGCUGCUACUUUUCCUGUGGAAAGGGGCAUGAGACAGCGUCAGGACCUCCUCCCCAGUGAGAGUACCACCCACAGUGGCCGGGCCUUCCCACAUCAAAUCAGAUAUCAAGAAAUGCCCCAGAAGCCAAUCUGAUGGAGACAAUUCCUCAACUGAGUUUCCCUCUUCCCAGGUGUAUCAAAUUGACAAAAACUAUGACACGCAAAUAAAUUCAUUGGUUCA